This 305-nucleotide ribosomal RNA is filed under the name uncultured bacterium. RNAcentral describes it as "bacterial SSU rRNA". It matches the Rfam family "Bacterial small subunit ribosomal RNA", at positions 335 to 658 of the family's 1533-position model. The record is from RNAcentral.
GGCCUACGGGACGCAGCAGUGGGGGAUAUUGCACAAUGGGCGAAAGCCUGAUGCAGCGACGCCGCGUGAGGGAAGACGGUCUUCGGAUUGUAAACCUCUGUCUUUGGGGAAGAAUAGAGACGGUACCCAAAGAGGAAGCUCCGGCUAACUACGUGCCAGCAGCCGCGGUAAUACGUAGGGAGCGACCGUUGUCCGGAAUUACUGGGUGUAAAGGGAGCGUAGGCGGGCUUGUAAGUUGAACGUCUAAUCCACCGGCUCAACCCGUGACCGCGUUCAAAACUGCAGGUCUUGAGUGAAGUAGAGGC